GAUGAACGCUGGCGGCGUGCCUAAUACAUGCAAGUCGAGCGAACAGACGAGGAGCUUGCUCCUCUGACGUUAGCGGCGGACGGGUGAGUAAAACGUGGAUAACCUACCUAUAAGACUGGGAUAACUUCGGGAAACCGGAGCUAAUACCGGAUAAUAUAUUGAACCGCAUGGUUCAAUAGUGAAAGACGGUUUUGCUGUCACUUAUAGAUGGAUCCGCGCCGCAUUAGCUAGUUGGUAAGGUAACGGCUUACCAAGGCAACGAUGCGUAGCCGACCUGAGAGUGUGAUCGGCCACACUGGAACUGAGACACGGUCCAGACUCCUACGGGAGGCAGCAGUAGGGAAUCUUCCGCAAUGGGCGAAAGCCUGACGGAGCAACGCCGCGUGAGUGAUGAAGGUCUUCGGAUCGUAAAACUCUGUUAUUAGGGAAGAACAAAUGUGUAAGUAACUAUGCACGUCUUGACGGUACCUAAUCAGAAAGCCACGGCUAACUACGUG
This 497-nucleotide ribosomal RNA is filed under the name uncultured bacterium. RNAcentral describes it as "partial 16S ribosomal RNA". It matches the Rfam family "Bacterial small subunit ribosomal RNA", at positions 28 to 507 of the family's 1533-position model. The record is from RNAcentral.